RNAcentral lists this ribosomal RNA (253 nucleotides) under uncultured bacterium. Its description in RNAcentral is "partial 16S ribosomal RNA". It matches the Rfam family "Bacterial small subunit ribosomal RNA", at positions 524 to 776 of the family's 1533-position model. The record is from RNAcentral.
UACAGAGGGGGCAAGCGUUGUUCGGAAUUACUGGGCGUAAAGGGCGCGUAGGCGGCCUUCUAAGUCGAACGUGAAAUCCCUGGGCUCAACCCAGGAACUGCGUCCGAUACUGGAAGGCUUGAAUCCGGGAGAGGGAUGCGGAAUUCCAGGUGUAGCGGUGAAAUGCGUAGAUAUCUGGAGGAACACCGGUGGCGAAGGCGGCAUCCUGGACCGAGAUUGACGCUGAUGCGCGAAAGCCAGGGGAGCAAACGGG